CAUUUCGAUCAAGAGCAAUUUAAAAACUUUGGAAUAUAUUAAAAAAUAUAUUGUAAAAUUACAUAAUUUUUUCUUGUAGGAUAAAGCUGUAUUCAACGAUUAUUUUACUUUGACCUCUUUUAGUGUCAAAUUAUGUUGGGAAAAAAAGAAAUAAUUAAAAAAUAUAAUGUGUAAAGUUUUUGUUAAGAAAGAAAAUUGUUUUAAAUUUCACAAUUAAACAAGUGAAAAAACCAUGAUAACUACAUAAAUAGUAACACAACAAAUAUCAGUAAAUAUAAGUUUAAAGCAUAUUUUCCUUUUUGUCAAAAUGUCAAAUAACGUAUAAAUCAUGAUUGAUAAGUUUACUAUAAACACUUUAGAAAUCAGUCGAUUCUUAAUAAGCUUUGAUCGCAUUUGCAAUAUAAAUAAGUCUAAUAAAGAACAUAUAAAUUAUAUCUACCAUUCCUAACUGCAACACCAUCGAUAAGGUGAUAACUCACGUCGAUUUUAUGAUAAGACAGGCAUGCCUGUCGUUAUCAUAUUAUAUCGUGUAAUAAAAGAAUUGAUUGGUAAUUUAAACCUGUGUGUCCAAACUGUACAAAAAUAUUUGUAAAAUCCAUAAAAAUAUAUAUGUAUGUGAAUAAGUUUUAAUGCCGUUUAAAUUUACAAAAUACUAUGUUUCUAAAAUAAGAUACGUAUUUGUUGUGUCCAUUAUAUUUUGCGUGAUGCAUCGACUCUGAUUAGUGAAAAAAUAAUAAUAUAUAUAGUCAAUAGUAUAUCGCUUUAAUCAGGAGAUUUUAGUAACCGGAAGAGAACUACAUUUACAAAGGUAUAAGAAAAGCAUUCCGAGCUGUCACAGCACACAAAUGUCUGACAUGCUACUCUGGUAUCAUUUUGCGCUGUUUUAUUUCUAUUCGAGAUAGGGGUAGAAAAAGAGCAAAGGAAGAAGAGAAUGAAGGAAUGCUCGUUGCAAAUAAACAUUUUGGUCUAAAAUAUAUUUUUUCUGUAAUAUUGGCUUUAUGCUAAUUGAGAUUCAUUCUAAAUGUGAUUAAAUAAUAAAGUGUUGUAAAAUAUGAUUGAAAAACCAUUUUUUUAUUUUUGGGGGAUUUUAAAAGUUUAAUAAACGCAAAUUCAAGAAUAGUAUUUAGUAAUUAAAUAGUAAUAAUUUAGAAUCACAUAAAAAUAAUUGAAACUGUAGAAAUAAUUCAUUUGCUACCAUUCGAAUGCAUAAUAUAUGAUUUAUGUCAAUGGCUUUUCUCGCUUACCAGACUGGCAAUGUAAAUGUUGAUUUAAGUGCGCCAUUUGUUAAUGAAUUCGAAACAUUUUAGUCAUUAAGCACAUAUAUCCGAUUCGAUCGUUUCUAUUCACCUCAAGUUUCAUCGUCGUAUGAUUUGAUUGUAAGUCCGAUUACAAAUCCGCGCCAGAUAGGCAGGAACGAAGUUCAAGGGAAACCGGUAAAGAGCAUAUGGCAAAUGCAGAAUAAUUCAAAUUUGCGAUUUUUUUCUUGAAAGCGAGAAUGUUUUUAUUACUAUAAUAAUAUUUCAGAAUAUUUUUACAUAUUUUGUAUUUUAUUUUAGUAUCUACUACAACGCGCACACACGCAUAAUAUAUUAGUAAUACAUUUAUUACGUCUUUUUGGUUUUAACACUUUAGAGAUUAUAACGUGAGUGGGAUUAUAGAGUGAGCGAUUUCGAUAUUUUCGAUAAAAAAGUCGAAAGAAAAACAACGACGCUAUGAUCAUCAUCACGAAAAUGACGAUCAUUUCCCUUGGAUACCGUUUCGUCGAAAUCAAUUAAAAUUUUGCGUGCCAAUUUAGAAUUACUAGUAAGAAAAAUGCAGGCAAUUUGAAACAAUUUCGAGUUAAAUAUAUAAUAUUUCAUUGUGCCGUUUAUAUCUGAUGGAUUGUGAUACGCAUUCUCGGAAAGGAACUAUAAUUAAAUACAUUCCUGUUACAUUCUUCGCAAUGCAGGUUAUUAAGUUCACAUUACAAUCCUCCUGUACAAAUUCUCUCGGCAAAAUUAAUAUUAAAUUAUAAUCUUAGAAGUGUGGGUUCUGGCCCAAUAAAAUUAAUAUUUAUGCCAAUAUAAUAACAAUUUUUCGCCUGUGUUUUUGAUGAGUAAUAGUACCGAUAAUAAGACUUAUCAAGAUGACGCAAUUAUCCAUACAAGACGUAAUAAAGAAUAUUUGCUAAAAUUAGUAGACAUGCCUACUAGACGAACUCCAAAGGUCGAGGCCCUGGUUGUAAACGCUAUACGUAGACUGCAGGAUGUGCAAGGUUCAACAUCACGGGAAAUUAGUAACUAUAUUUCCCAGGAGUACGAUAUUCCUAGCGAGGAGACCAGACGGCAGGUCCAGUUCGCAUUACGACGUGGAUUAUCUUAUGGGAUUCUUAAACGUUCAAGAGGAGGAUACUAUUCGUGCAAUCACGACUCCCUCGGUCCGCUCUCGUUAGAGAGUGGCACGGGCGACGGGGUGACGGAACCAUGUCCAUCUCAACCUUGGCGAUUCGGCGUACGUAAGAGGAGAUUACAGAAACGUAGAAGAAGGCUAGCACAGCGAAGAAGAAGGGAACGAGAGCGGAGAGAGCGACAGCGAAAGGAACGAGGGCGAAGGAGAGGGAGGGGACGUCGCCGAUCACGCGGAAGAUCACGCGCCGGGAGAAGGAGGGGCAGACGUCCCUCUCGAAGACGUCGAAGCAGGCGAAGACGGACCAGAAGAAGAAGAAGAAGAGGAAGAGGAAGCAGAAGAGCAGGAGGAAGAGCCAGAACACGCGCUGAUCCCGGCGCGAUGGAAAUGGAGGCGAUGAGCCUGGCGAAUCCGGAGCCGGUGAGAAGUGACGGCGACAGGAAAGACGAGGAUCCUCAGAAGAGCGAAACUUCUGCAUCCGAGCACUCGGUGGGGCAGCGUUCGCAGAGCUCUGCUCAAAAUUCUCAAAAUACGUGCAAUGAUGAAAAUACUACAAAUGAAUAAUUUUUUUUAAUUUUUUUUUUUUUUUUUUAAAUAAGAGAAGUAGUAUGUGCAUAGAUUACGGUAAGAGAAUUGUUCGACACAGAGGCAGCAAAAUCGAAUUUUACAGAUAUACAAUUUCAUUGCUCAGAUGUCCAAACCUCUACACAAAUUUCGAAGGAUCUAUUUUAUUUAUAUGUCUCUCUUUUAUUGUCAUUUUGUAUACGUUAUAUUAAUUACUACAAUUGUCUUCCCAUACGUGAGUUCUUAAUUCCUCGUUCGUACCGUAAAACCGCGAUGGGGGAAGGGGAGGGGGGAAGAAACGCGAGAUUAAUCGAAACUGUCCGUCGUCACCCGGCGUGAAACCCGAGCCUCCUGAGAAAGCAGCAGCGCGGGGACCCGUCGCGUCCAUCGACAGCCCUGAACGCGGCCUUGCCGGCUAAUGAUAGUCGCGCUAAUGACGAGUCCGCACACGCAUGUAUGCGCGCACCGCGUGACUAUUUCGCCUAGCAACUCUAGGACUAGACGCAAGACGACAACGACGCCGCCGCCGCCGCCGCCACGGUGUUUUGCACCCGCCAGCUGUGAAUGAUAAGUGCAUGCGUGCGCGCGGCGCGUAUGCAAAUUACGUUUCCAGAACAAGCCGGCGAGAUAUUUGAGGGACGGGUUCUUUCGACAGGCUGCAAAUUGCAUCUCCGCUUUCCCGGAUAACCGAAUCUUCGCUUAUAGACAAUCGAUUUCAUAAAAUUAUCCCGCGGAAGAUCGGCAUAUCCUAUAAUUUUCAGCCAAUAAUUUAGAAUUCAAUCCCUGUGACGUCAACAGCCCAUGUGUUCUAUCAAAUUGAAUAUCGAUUCUACAUAUUUACGCUUUGCACAUUCACCGAAUUUAAUUUGAAUCAUCAUUUACGGGAACUCGCACGGAAUUAUCUCGGGUGGGAUUAUUGAACGCCGAUAUUAUCAUCGAUCGAACAUUAUUAUUAUCGAUUCAUUAUACAUGCUUCGCCUCAGAGGAGAAACAUGCAUUUAGAUAUAAGGUAUCUUCGUUUCAAACGGAAGAUGAUUGAAAGGCAAUCGAUUGUAAUCGUGUGGAAGGUCCUCUACAUUUUGUUUACACGCAUAUCGGACGCCGGUAAUAAUUAUGCAAGAUUAAUUUGAUAAAGCAAUCUUUAUCCGUGGUCGGUUGCGUAUUUACGUUGAAUUUCAACGCGGAAGAUAUUUCCCUACAUUUCGAUACCAGAGGCUACGUAUUUGUGCGAUUUGUACAUAAUUUAUUGUAACUUUUUCUUCAUAUAUCAUUGACUAACUGGCCAUAACGGACGGCGGGUGAUUAAUACGGAGAAUAAUAAUUUUUACGCCGAUCGACGGCACCAUUAAUAAACGGUUUUGCAUUCGGAUUAGCUCAACUGUUGAUUGCUUAUCUAUCGGUGGAAAGCUAGAUAUGCUUUAGAAGAGUUAUUAUUAUAGCUUCGAACGAACGGCGACGUUAAAUCAUUGUCGCUGUUCGAGCUUGUCGCUCUUCUACACGCCGCGUACGCAAAUAUAGAGAAAAUAGCUCGCGCCAGCGAUCUCCCGGAAAAUAGGUCUACGAAAGACCGAACGUAUUAUAUACAAUGAUAUGUAUCCCGUUGGUAAAAUAAUGAUUAAGUGAUACAUAACCGGGGCGAUUUAUCGCAAGACUAAUUAUACGUUGUCGCCAUCGUUGUCGUGUCGAACGCUAAUUAAACAUUUACACUUGUGCUUCGACAAGUGUCUGGCGUGAGUAGAGGUGGGGCCCGAAAAACCGGUAUAAUUUCAGUUCAAUCUUCGAUGUUAUACAGAACGAUAAGAAUGGUAAACAAGACACUUCGGUACUUUUUACCGCGGCAUCGGGGGAUCGAACUAAUUGGCUCGGAUCGGACCGGCGAAUGGUGUUGCCCGCCGGCGAAAACACCAUUCGUCUACAUUGCAAAUCUAAUAGCGGAGAGAGGAUCGUCCCUUCGUUUUUCCACAUAGAGAAACGCAGAGGGAAACGCGGACGGAGAGACGUGGGAAAAAGAGAGAAAGAGAGACAGGCCGACGUCGUUUCGCCGCGAAACCGAAAAUACUCAUGUCGGCCGGUAUGUUGAAACCUGGCAUAAGUUCUGGCGGGUUGCCAGAAAAGCGGUACCCGCUUGGAGGCCACGCCAGGCCACGAGCGAUCGUUCUCGACAGCCCGAAUCUCUAACCAGAGGUAAAGGAUGAUCAUUUCAGGAAAAAAAAAUCGAUCCGGGGGCGAACGAUCGAUAACGAGGAUGUUAAUUGUUUUUUUUUUUUUUACUAACUUUUGUUCUUAUAAAAUAAAGUGGAUUUAAUCCGACAAAAAUGUCUCGCAACAAUCUCUCCUUAUCGCUUACUUAAAAUUAACAUCUUUAACGCGCGCAAGUUUACUUGUUAUGGAGAAGCACUCUGAGACUUAUCUAAAUUAAUACCCGUUGAAACUGGAACACUUACUUCACGUUCUCUACCGUUGAUAAGUUUAUUGCUCCUCGUGCAACUUCCUAGCGAGAUAAAUCGCGGCUAACUCGCGUAAGUCGUGGAAGUUUAUCGUUCGCUAUGAAUUGGGAAAUUCCUGUUAGGCGACCUUACGGUUGAUACGUACGAAUACGAAGAAUAACUUUUUUCCGCGCUCUUUUAUACUCUGUAACCAUUAGAAAAAUUUUCGCGGAUGAGUACCGCGACGAGAAACGAGCGAGAAACAUGUGCUAACGAGCGAAAUCGCACGGUGCUAAAUACUUCUCGAGACUCGCAGAUAUCGCGAGGGACCUUGAAGUUAGAAGAUGCACAAGGCUCGACAAAUAAUCUCUCCAAUUGGCCUGUAGGUAAUAAUAGUGAAACAUAAGAAAUAACUUCGGCAAUAAUUGUUUGAGCGUUAUAUAACAACAUUAUUACCGUUCUGUCUUGGAAAAAAAUUGAUGGAUUUGGAAGAUGAACGAAACAGGAAAUAAUUUCCGCGAUACUGAAUUCAUAAUGUUUGAAAUCACGACAAAGAGUAGCGAUAGCGAUAAACGAAUGAUGGUUUUAUCUAGCCUAUAAUAGAAAUUCAUUGCACGCACAACAUUGCGCUUUAAUUCUUUUUAAAGGAUCAAAUUAAUUUUAUCAGCACAAAAAUAAGUAAAAUAUGGAAAAGUACAUUCUUUCAGUUAAUUAUAACGAUGAAGAGAUUUGGCAUUCAUAUCUCAGUAAAAUAAAUUUCUGUGUCUGCUUUUUUUUUAUGAUACGCAAAGAAAUUGUCGAUAGGAAACGAAGUAAUUAACCUUUACCUUGAUCUCCGUACAUUUGAACGAUUUAAACGGCAUCGAAAACUAACUGCCGACGAAAUGGCAGAUGUUGAAGCCAACUUGGAACGGCCGGGCAGCAUCUGGUGCACCAUAAAGUUGGCACUAUUAUAAUUAAUAUUAUUACAUUGUCCGAAGAACGAUUGUGGGAGGUACACGCGUCGCGAGCCAAUUGUUCCUUAUUCUAUCUUCUAUCAUAUUAAUAAAUGACUCUCGCGCCGCACGGCCGACCAGCUUCGUCCAAGCGCAAUAUAUCUAAACAACAGAUCUCGUACGCCAAAGGUGUUAUCAGAUAACUUUUAGCAUACUUUUAGUAGAUUAUUUAAUAAUUAUUUUUAAAAAAGCAUUUAUCUAGAAUACAGUAAACGGAAAUUUUUACGUACGAGUAAAGUAUAUAUUAAUAAUAAUUAUCGAGGAAUCGAAACGAACAAUUAAUCGCAAUCGUGGUUGACAUAAAACAUAAAUUAAAUAUUAGAUCACGCGGAUUAUUUCCUCAGCUGCGUCACACGCGAAGCAUAGCUCGACUGUGCUGAGCCAUGUUCAAGUUGCCGGUACUCUUUUUCUGGUCUUCCAGCCUAUCCAUCAAACGGAUUGACGUGUGUACGGUCCUGGCACGCCAAAAAUAAUCGUCCAACAUAUUGUGAAAGAGCACGAACCGCGGUAGAAGAGCGGACCGUAAUGCCAGUGCUAAACUUUCGACACGGUUCAUCUGCCGAUGAUUACCGAAAGCGACAGAUACACUCGAAGUAUGCGUAAAGUCUUUGGUCCUCGACGCCAUUAGCCGAGCCAUUAAUGACAAUUCAAAUCAGAGGAUCAGGGUGAUUGAAAGUGACGUCGCAAAUUUUACGGGCGGCAAGAAAUUAAACGCAAAAACUUGUAUUUUCAACCACUAAUGAUUGAUAGCUUCGGAAAUGAAAUAUGAGAUUGUCAUUUUAUUACGGAUACAGUAACACAUGCUGAAUAUACUUUUUCUGACCACAUCAGACACGUUAAAUAUAGAAAGGAAAAGAGACAAAAAGCUAAGGAAAAAAAUCACGAUGUAUAUUCUUUUCCGUAGGCAUAUUUUUAUCGUAAACGUUUUAAUAAAAUCGCAGGUUUAUCUUUUGGCAAGAAACGAAAAUUAUAAAUAGGUAUUUGUGUAAUUCGUUAGUGUAAUAAUAGCUAAAGACCGACUCUAAGCAAUACAAUAAUAGCAAGCUAUGUUCAUUUGCUUUAUGUUUUAUUGACAAUAUACGCGCGAAUCUGUAGUCUGUCUUACGACGAGACAAUAGAGAACGAAGAGCGAUGUAAGUAUAUCGAUCGUAGGAAAGUGAAUGAAAAAUGAAACGGCGCUUCGCACGCGACUUAUCGGCGUCUACUUGCCGGCUUGCAUUUCUCGUCGUCGACAGUCGUCGGGUCACUAACAAUGACGUCUGCGACAGUGACCAUAAGUGACAUCGAUCACUCACAAGUGUAUAGAAGCAAAGUAUACCGAUCUUUUAUUCGAAGUAAAAAGAAUGUAAAAGAUCGAUCGCUCUUUACGUUCUUACGUUUGCGUGUUAAAUAUGAUUUUAUUUUUAAAUAUUUUACUUGAAAAUCGCGCAUUUUAUUUUAAAAUAAAAAUAGCUUCUUUUUAAAGCAUUAUUUUUAAUCUACAUGGACUAAUGAGGCAAUAGUAUUGUAAGAAAAAAACAUAUGGGGCUUAGAGGUGGGGAUCACGAAAGAAACAGACGAUCAAUUCGACCCCAAUUAAUUUUAAGUAACAUCCAUGGUGAUCCUUAAUUGAUAAAUGUGUGUUUGAGUAACGUUUGCAUUAUGCGGUGAGUUGGCAGAUGGAAAAGAGCCAGGCGGAAUUAUCAGUAGGAAAGGCAAACGGGGGGAGUGAUGACACGGUAGAAAACCUGUGGGAACAAUCGGAAGAUAGAGAAACGGAGGUAUGCCAUUAUACGGCGUAAUUGGCCGAAUUGGAAAGUCUGGGGCCUUCCUGGCUCUUUGCCCUUCUACUGUUACUCUCGUUUAUAUCCCUCCAUAUUGAUCGGCAUAAAUACGAAGUGCAGUUUGCCCCGUCCCUUCGGGAGCUCCCGGCGCGUCUUGUGCACGUCUCCGCAUAAUGUAAUAUCGCCCAGUAGACCCAGUACCUUAAUCCUAAACUAUGACCACCGGGUUUUGCCAGAUCCCAAAGUGAACUUUCGCACUUAUUCAUAUCGAUCAAUUGGAGCGAAUUUUUUCCGACUGUUGUAGGCCGCGUUUGGAAGCUCAACUUUCCGCAUACGAUCGUGUAUUAAUUUGUAUCCCAGAUAUAAAUUAUCACUUUUGUUUAUUAUAGCAACGUGAAUUUCACACGUAGAUAAUCGAUUACUUAAUUAUUAUUAUAUUCAUAGCUCAUACAUAUGCGCAUACGUGAGAGCAAAAAAUGGCACGUGGCCUAGAAUGAAGAGAUACUAUCUCGUACGAUGUAAAAAAAAAAAAUAAUAAUAAAAGUGCUGUAAUGAUGCUAUAGCUACUUAAAAAAAAUCAUUGCAUUUUCAUGCUGACAUAUCACGACAGUCGCUGUCAUAAUACGAGUCGCUGGAAGAGCUUAACUCUGCGAUGUCGUAAUACCGAAAAUAAAUAGAGUCGCGUCGCCGUGGCUACAACCACGCCGUGCGUGGAUGAAAGGAUUUAUUCUUACGCCGUUGUAGUAUCAAAAAGUAACGCGAAGUGUCGCUUUGCUGUCGUGAUAUAUCAUGCGUGUUUGUAGCCACAUAGUAUCUUUUAUCGCGAGAAGAUAUCGCGACGACGCAUUUUUCCCCUCAAACUCGAAUGCGUGGCAACGCGAACAGAGUGCCAAUUGAAUUCGAGGCCGAAUUAUUCUAGCGGCAGUUUAUUUCUGCGCCGAAAGUUUUACGUAUCGCGGAGAAUAAAGCGAGCGGAGUAAUGGAGGAGAGAUAAAAUUAAUCGUCGAUCCGGCUGUAUAACGAGCGCGAAAAAAAAAGGGGAGUAAUCGGACACGCGGCAUAAUUUUUUUCGUUCGUUUUUAUCUCGAAGAAACGAGAACCGAGCCCACUUCAAGUAAUCAGCAUUUUGCGUAAUCGAGAAAGCGAUUCGGCUUUCUUAUCUAACCGAUGAAAGGUGCAAUAUAUAUUAUCGGGCAGAGUCGGAAGAUUUUCAAGCGGUUGACCUCUUCCCCUUCGCGUUUUUCGUAAAUACAAUUAUUUAAUCUUGCAUUACGCUAAUAAUCCGAUUCAGUGAGGUAGCAAAUUGGGGACAGUUUCCUGAGUCAACAUAACGAGUUACUUCCCAUUCGGCUGUGAAACCAACAUCGCUCGUAACGAAAUGAAUUACGCAUUGCAAAAAUUACAUCAUCCGAUUGCAACUUACAUCAAACGUUUGCAGUGUCGCGACUGGAAAACGCGACUCCUAAUUAGCCGGAAAAAAAAUAGACGGAUUAAGAGUAAUUGACUUUGCAGCAUUAUUUUCUAGCGCAACUUCACGAAACGAAUUUCUAGGCCAAAUUUUUACAGUUCACAUAUUUCUCAUAAAGAGAUCAUUCUUUACACCUAGACUUAUUGGCGUACGACUUGUUGGUUUUUUUUCUGCGUAUAAGAGACAGAGGAGGGGGGGAGAUAUUUAUUAUGAUAAAUUAUCAAAAA
RNAcentral lists this unclassified non-coding RNA (9828 nucleotides) under Monomorium pharaonis (pharaoh ant). RNAcentral describes it as "luc7-like protein 3, transcript variant X1". Lineage: Eukaryota; Metazoa; Arthropoda; Insecta; Hymenoptera; Formicidae. The record is from RNAcentral.